CAUAUUUUUGAAAAAAAAGCUAUUCCCCCGAUUUUCAUUUUCCCUCCCUAUUUUUCUAUAGAUCCGCUAAAACUUUAGAAAAUAUAUAAUAAAAAUUAAAAAAAAUAUACAAAAAUAUGGUUUUCACUCUUAUGAACUCGAUCACUCUCAUCAGUCUACAAACCCCAGUACUGCCACUACGUCGACUAUCCACCGCUCUCCAACUGCCGCUCUGACUUGCCCACUGCUGCUCCGACCGUGGAUCCGACCGCUUCUCCGACCACUACUCCGAUUUACAACAACCGACAGAUCUAGUUGUUGAAUCCUCUUAGUAAGCUUGCUCUUCAUAUGAAUCCAUUUAUUUUAUAUUGUAAUGAAGUCAAGAUCUAGAAAUUUGUUCUGUUUUUCAUCAAUUUUAAGUAUUCAGCACAAUCUAUUCUGAUUACUAUGAAUUUCUUUAUAAAUAUCGAAUGAAGAAAUGCGUCAUUCUUUCUUUGUUCGAAUGUUGUAUGCAUCAUUCUUUCUUUAAUAAUGUUGGGUUAAUUUAUUAAUUUGUUCGUUCAUUUUUCAUGUGUAAAGAUUUAAUCUUUUUGACAUUUGGUAUCACUAAUUUGUUGAUCUCUGUAAACUGUUUGUUACUCUGUAAACUGUUUGUUACUGGAUUUAGUAUAUGUUGAUUAUCUAAUUGUCACUGGAUUUGGUGUAUUCUGGAUUAUCCAAUUGAUACUCAAGACUCUAAAGAUAAGCAUAUCUGGUAAUGUUGAAGAUGUGUUCAUUUUACUAUUUGUUAGGUAACUGGAGUAUGCUUCUCCUGAAAUUUUUGUUUAUGUAGGAAUUGAUUUUUAGUGGAUUUAGUAUCCUAAUUGUAUUUUGCAAAAGAUGGAAUAUUUGUAGAAUGCCACUUAGUGAGAACCCUUCACGGUAAGGAAUUACCCAGUUAUCAUGCAAGUAUUUCCAUGUAAUGCAGCGUAGCUGUAGGAGUUCUUUUGCAUAGUUACUGCCGUAUGGGUUAUGAUACCUUGAUGAAUGUCUGAACAAUGCUUGGACAGGAUAUGGAAGUGGAUCCUGAAGGUUCCUUUCUACCAUAUGUGGCAGUAUCACUACGAACAAUUUGUAUGACCUCACAAACAUAUGAAAACUCUAUAUCAGAAGGAAAAAGCAGUGCAUAGACUCAUUUAUACAAGGAGUACUUAUAAUUUCCUGUAUUUGUAUACUAGUAAGAGUUUGGAAUGUUCUUUGAUAACUAUUGCUCUAUUUCCUGCAUUUAUGGCUGAUGGGAAAAGAACUAGAGUAUUUACACAUGUAAUGUACUAGUUUUCAAGAUGUAAGGAAUUUCCUUUGACUCUUACAUGUAAAUACUACCUAUAGGAGGCUGCAACAUAGUACUAUGCAUUUAGUGGUAUGGUACAUUAGGGGAUGAGGUGUAGAACCUUACGAACAUGAGAAUGGAAUUUUGCAUCAUGGGGCAUAAGGUAUCACCGAGGGUAAUAAAACCUUUCUAUACAAGGUAUCUGUGCUUACCCUUUAUUAUUUCCUUAUUUACUGAUCCUCUUGUAGUCUUAUUCAUCUCAAUGUAUUAACAGCACAUUUAGUUUCGUUUAUAGUAUCUGGUUAUUGAAGUCUGAAUUUUGACCCAAAUCUGAUCGUGCUCAGAGAUUGUUUGGAAGAAGCAAUUUCGAUAAGUCAUCUCAUCGGCUGAUUGAUUCUGAUGGUCUUCCAUAUGUGGGGUAGGUAAUAGGAUGUCUAUUCUCUUCUCUAUUUUUUGGUGAGUCAACUUGCACCUGAACCAACAUGAUCAUUUGAUUGCAAAGAAUUAAUCCUAAUGAUCAUAUUGUAGCAUUUACAAUGAAAUAACCAGUCAGACAAUUAGUAUGAAGUUAAAGGGUUCGGAGCUAGUUGUUGUUUAUUAUGUUUCUAUCGAUGUGUAAAAUAAAACACAUCUGCAGAAGGUGAGCAAUUCCUAGAUAUAUUUGACUUUGAGAAGAUAAAUCUUUGUUGUUGCUUUUCUGGAUUUCUAGUCCACUUUGCAAUUGUUAUCUCUUUUGUUAGCAUAUAUAAGUUGCUGUUAUUCUGUUAUCUUUUGCUUUCUAUUUUUCUUGAAUUUCGAUAUAUAAGUUGGUGUAAUUCUUUGAUAUUUUGCUUUCUAUUUUGCUUGAAUUUCAAUAAAUACGUUCCCAGUGAGCUUUUUACCAUCUAAUGCUUUAUUAUCAUAGUCGUUGCAGCCCAAAACUAACUGUUUCUUGGUUUCUGAUGGAAGUGUACUGAUCGUACUAGUCCAUCCUGCCUUGGAAAGGGUAAAAAAAGAAGAUACGGAUUAGAGCAAUCUUCUCCACAAGAGAGAAGGUAUCACCAUAGUCGAGACAAAGAAUAUAUGUAGCCUUUGGCAACCAGUCUGCUCUAUCAAUCUAUCCAUCAGGACCAACCUUCAUAGUAUAUACCCAUCGACAACAAAUUGUAGAUCUACCUAGAGGAAGAGGAACAAGUUCCCAAGUACCACUAGAGUGUAAGACAAAAGUCUCCUCAAUCAUAGCUUAUCAAUUACCAGGAUGAGAAAGAGCUUAUUCUGUAGUCUUAGAAAUAGAAACAGAUGAUAGUGAUGAUACAAAAGCAUAACGUGCUGGUAACAAAUGAUGAUAGCUUAGACAAGUAUAUAUAGGAUUAGGAUAACGAGUAGAACGAAUACCUUUCUGAGUGGUAAUGGGAGAACUCUCUUUAGACAAGUCUGCAGCCACAAGUUUAUAACCUGCAAGAAUCUGGUGUUGGGCGUUAAUUGUCCGGAACAGAUGAAAAGUGUUGAUGACGGUGAUAAGUCAAAAAUGUCCUAAGACAUCACAGAGGGAAAUGAUGAAUUGUUGUAGCCUCUAGUGCUUUAUUUGUUUUUUUUUCCUGAAUAUAGUUUAUUCUCUUGUAAGUCAUAAACUUUUACUUUAUUCCUAAUGUGGUCUUUCUUUCCAUAUGAGAUUCAUUAUUUUUUCCAGGGAGAGGCUGUUGUUCUGGUGGAUAAGGAGGAUGCUGAUGCAAUUAAAGCAGCAGAGAGAGUGGACCAAACGGUUGGACUGUAAUAUAUUAGUAAAUUGGCAUUUUCUCAUAGUGACAUGCAAGCAUCUGAUCUGAGUACUACUGAGCAGUUGUUAAAUAUAUUAUAUUCCUCUUUUUCCUGCAGAAAGGAAACCAAAAUAUACUAUCCUUCACGGUAUGAAAUUAAUCACAACUUUACUGAUCCAAUUGGCUUACUUGUGACCUUGAGGGUACCAUCUCUUUGCUUAUGAUUUGUUUAUUGUUUUGGGAUUGACAUAGGGUUGAUCCCAAAUCAGUUGAAAUUUGCUAUUCCGACAUGGAAUCUAUUGCACCUGAAGCGUACUUGUCAUCGACUAUAAUGAAUAUCUACAUCCAGAGAGUUAACAAAAUAUUUUGUCUAAUUGUUACAUUGUUGAUUAAUGAAUAGACAGGUUAAACAUCUAUUAGGAAUAGGUUGCUUUGAGUUGUUUUGCUUACCGUUCAAGUAAAGGAAUGGAGACUGUUGCGAUGCCUUAAGUCUUUAAAUAUCUAGCGGCUGAACUGGCAGCCAUGAACAUCAAGAUGACUCUCAAACUAAGUAAUGGGGCUGGAGCUUGAUACGUGUUUUUGGCAGUUGAAAUAUUCUAAUGUCUAGAAGCAAGCGGGAUUUUGGUGCUUAUUUCAUCUGUAAAUGUAUCUUCUAAUGUGCAAUACAUCCAAAAAGGGGUUUGCUGCUAAGAUAACUUGAUUCUGGCAAUGAUUGAUUUGGUUUAGACUUUUAGACAUCAGAAGGCCAGUUUCCUAGUGGGCUACCUAGAAAGAAAGUGCGCUGCAAAUGCUACAUGCUUCUGGCCAUCUCAUAGUGCAAGAGUCAAAAUAUAGAGAUGUCUCAUCAGUAAGAAUUCCGAGUUAUGCAGGUCUAAUGAUAUGACGGAGGUGACAGGAACCCUUGGCUAUAUGGCUCCUGAGAAACAAGAAUUGUAAAGAUUAAGGGGUAUAGUCUACAUAACCAGAGUCAAUUAAUGCAAAUUGCGCCGCACGAGAAGUACUAGGAAAUUCCUUUAUGUUUGGAGUAUACGAAGCAUUAAAGCAGUAUUUUGCAGGAGGCAUGGGUACUUCUGGUGCUGUUGUUAAGUGGAGAAGGUUACGAGAAGGUCCAAGACUUGCUGCUUUGGGAUUUAGAUUACUAGCUUGUUGUAAAGAUUUGUUUUGUGAUGUGAUUAUCUAUGUAAAUACUAAUUUAUAUAGUUGCAUAAAAUUUUAAUUUGGAUUAUUAUAUUAAUGAAA
Molecule: long non-coding RNA, 4263 nt
Organism: Capsicum annuum
Lineage: Eukaryota; Viridiplantae; Streptophyta; Magnoliopsida; Solanales; Solanaceae
Exons: 2
Source: RefSeq, a predicted model, not a curated record